UUUAAGACCUCAAAAUGUGCACAGAGGAAGAGUCGCAGUACGUCUGGCAAAGGAGUACUACCAAUCAGGUAGUGACAAUGUGACGUCCAUCAUGGAGUGGCCAUGUGUCAAGAGAAUACUACUAACAGUUUACAUGUUACAAAACACACACUCUCGAAUGUGGCCUCCUAGCAUGCUAAAAGACGAGGGUCAAUGAUGAAUCUCUAAGCUCAUUAAACUCGUAUCGAAUGAGACGGUUGUUUGUUCGAGAGGAGAAGAAACGCUGUGUUGGUAGCACAUGAAUGUGCUCUGUGCUAGUGUGCUUGGAUUGGAUCCAAAGCAUCAUGUAUCAGUCAGUUCCUCCUAUUUCCAAAAAUGUUAGUCGCCUCCA
Oryza sativa Japonica Group (Japanese rice) is the source of this 370-nucleotide non-coding RNA. Lineage: Eukaryota; Viridiplantae; Streptophyta; Magnoliopsida; Poales; Poaceae. The record is from RefSeq and is a predicted model, not a curated record.